UACGUAGGGUGCAAGCGUUAAUCGGAAUUACUGGGCGUAAAGCGUGCGCAGGCGGCUUUGCAAGACAGAUGUGAAAUCCCCGGGCUCAACCUGGGAACUGCAUUUGUGACUGCAUGGCUAGAGUACGGUAGAGGGGGAUGGAAUUCCGCGUGUAGCGGUGUAAUGCGUAGAUAUGCGGAGGAUCCCCGAUGGCGAAGGCAGUCCCCUGGCCCUGUUCUGACGCUCAUGCUCGAAAGCGUGGGGAGCAUCCAGG
Molecule: ribosomal RNA, 253 nt
Filed under: uncultured bacterium
Lineage: Bacteria
Description: partial 16S ribosomal RNA
Rfam family: Bacterial small subunit ribosomal RNA
Source: RNAcentral